GCAGCGGUAGUACAGUGGCGAACGGGUGAGUAGCACGUAAGCAAUCUGCCUUUCAGCUGGGGAUAACCCUGCCAACGCGGGGCUAAUACCGAAUAGCAUUGCGGGGCCGCAUGGUCCUGCGAUAAAAGACGGGCAACCGUCACUGAAAGAUGAGCUUGCGUCCGAUUAGCUAGUUGGCGGGGUAACGGCCCACCAAGGCGACGAUCGGUAGCCGGCCUGAGAGGGUGUACGGCAACAUUGGGACUGAGAUACGGCCCAGACUCCUACGGGAGGCAGCAGUAGGGAAUUUUGCGCAAUGAGCGAAAGCCUGACGCAGCAGCGCCGCGUGAGUGAUGAAGGCCUUCGGGUUGUAAAGCUCUGUCGGGAGGGAAGAAAACGCCGGAUUAAUACUCCGGCAUUGACGGUACCUCCGGAGGAAGCACCGGCUAACUCUGUGCCAGCAGCCGCGGUAAUACAGAGGGUGCUAGUGUUGUUCGGAUUUACUGGGCGUAAAGGGAGUGUAGGCGGAAAACUAAGUCAGUGGUGAAAUGUCAGGGCUUAACCCUGAAUGUGCCGUUGAUACUGGUUUUCUUGAGUAUGGAAGAGGGCGACGGAAUUCCUGGUGUAGCGGUGGAAUGCGUAGAUAUCAGGAGGAACCCCGAUAGCGAAGGCAGUCGCCUGGGACAAUACUGACGCUGAAACUCGAAAGCGUGGGGAGCAAACAGGAUUAGAUACCCUGGUAGUCCACGCCCUAAACGAUGGAUACUGGAUAUUGGUAGGAUUUAUGCUACCAGUGUCGUAGCUAACGCGUUAAGUAUCCCGCCUGGGGAAUACGCUCGCAAGAGUGAAACUCAAAGAAAUUGACGGGGGCCCGCACAAGCGGUGGAGCAUGUGGUUCAAUUCGAUGUACGCGAAGAACCUUACCUGGGCUUGACAUGGGGGCGCCGCGGUCAGAGAUGGCCGUUUUUCGCAAGAAACGCCCCACACAGGUGCUGCAUGGCUGUCGUCAGCUCGUGUCGUGAGAUAUUGGGUUAAGUCCCGCAACGAGCGCAACCCUUGUCCAGUGUUACCAGCGGGUAAAGCCGGGGACUCACUGGAGACUGCCUCAUUCUAAGAGGAGGAAGGUGGGGAUGACGUCAAGUCCUCAUGGCCCUUACGUCCAGGGCUACACACGUGCUACAAUGGCCGGUACAGAGAGUUGCAAUACUGUGAAGUGGAGCUAAUCUCAAAAAACCGGUCUCAGUUCGGAUUGGAGUCUGCAAUUCGACUUCAUGAAGCUGGAAUCGCUAGUAAUCGCGGAUCAGCUAUGCCGCGGUGAAUACGUUAUCGGGCCUUGUACACACCGCCCGUCAAGCCAUGAAAGCCGGGGGUACUCUACGUGACCGCCUGAACCGUAAGGAGGGCGUCCCUAAAGUAAAACCGGUAAUUGGGGCUAAGUCGUAACAAGGUA
RNAcentral lists this ribosomal RNA (1429 nucleotides) under metagenome. RNAcentral's name for it is "bacterial SSU rRNA". It matches the Rfam family "Bacterial small subunit ribosomal RNA". The record is from RNAcentral.